AGACGCCGGCGGCNCNNCUAAAGCAUGCNCGUCCAACGGACCUUUUUAAGGGGUAACCCGAAAUUAGGUUAGUGGCGAACGGGUGAGGAAUGUAUGGAUAACGUACCCCGGACACAGGGAUAGCGGCGGAACUUCGGUUCCUUUGCGAAAGCGCCGGUAAUACCUGAUGAUCCCAUGGAGUCGCAUGGCUCUAUGGGCAAUGCUCCGACGGUCUGGGAUCGAUCCAUAUCCUAUCAGCUUGUUGGUGAGGUAACGGCUCACCAAGGCUUCAACGGGUANCGGGCGUGAGAGCGUGGCCCGCCACAUCGGGACUGAGACACUGCCCGGACACCUACGGGUGGCUGCAGCAACGAAUAUUCCGCAAUGGACGAAAGUCUGACGGAGCGACGUCGCGUGCAGGAAGAAGUCCUUCGGGAUGUAAACUGCUGUCAGGGGCUAGGAAACACGACCACCCACAGGAANCCUGCUAACUCCUGCCANCACCCCGGUAACACGGAAAGUGCAACGUUNUCCGAAUCUUUGGCUUAAAACCUNUAGCCGGAUNUANGUNUUUUUAAAUCCUGGCUACCAGAAUGCNGGCAACCNCNUCUUAAC
This 594-nucleotide ribosomal RNA is filed under the name uncultured bacterium. Its description in RNAcentral is "partial 16S ribosomal RNA". The stretch from base 1 to 513 matches the Rfam family "Bacterial small subunit ribosomal RNA", at positions 31 to 546 of the family's 1533-position model. The record is from RNAcentral.